CCUGAUCCAGCCAUGCCGCGUGAGUGAAGAAGGCCUUCGGGUUGUAAAGCUCUUUCAGAUGCGAAGAUGAUGACGGUAACAUCAGAAGAAGCCCCGGCUAAUUUCGUGCCAGCAGCCGCGGUAAUACACCGUGCCAGCAGCCGCGGUAAUACAA
RNAcentral lists this ribosomal RNA (154 nucleotides) under uncultured bacterium. RNAcentral describes it as "partial 16S ribosomal RNA". The stretch from base 1 to 138 matches the Rfam family "Bacterial small subunit ribosomal RNA", at positions 382 to 539 of the family's 1533-position model. The record is from RNAcentral.